GAUGAAGAACGCAGUGAACGUGCGAAACGUAAUGUGAAUUGCAGAAUUCAGUGAAUCAUCGAAUCUUUGAACGCAUCUUGCGCUCCUUGGUAUUCCGAGGAGCAUGCCUGUUUGAGUGUCGUGAAAUACUCUCAAUUUCAAUCUUUUUGUUUGAAAUUGGAUUUGGAUGUUGUUGUGGAUCUUGCUACGACUCAUCCUAAAUGCAUUAGCGAUCUGCCUUGAUCACACACAAUGUGAUAAGAUGAGCAUUGUUAUAAUCAAGUCAUGACUGCUUCUAACCGUCCCUUUGGGACAAACGUCUUAUGUCGUUUGACCUCAAAUCAGGUAGGACUACCCGCUGAACUUAAGCAUAUCAAUAAGCGGAGGA
Molecule: unclassified non-coding RNA, 367 nt
Filed under: soil metagenome
Description: partial contains 5.8S ribosomal RNA, internal transcribed spacer 2, and large subunit ribosomal RNA
Rfam family: 5.8S ribosomal RNA (bases 1-121)
Source: RNAcentral